This 186-nucleotide ribosomal RNA is filed under the name uncultured bacterium. RNAcentral describes it as "partial 16S ribosomal RNA". It matches the Rfam family "Bacterial small subunit ribosomal RNA", at positions 345 to 524 of the family's 1533-position model. The record is from RNAcentral.
GAGGCAGCAGUGGGGAAUUGUUCGCAAUGGGCGCAAGCCUGACGACGCAACGCCGCGUGGAGGAUGAAGGUCUUCGGAUUGUAAACUCCUGUUGCCCGGGACGAAAAGCCUCGACCUAACACGUCGAGGUCUGACGGUACCGGGUGAGGAAGCCCCGGCUAACUCUGUGCCAGCAGCCGCGGUAAU